GCAUAGCUCAGCUGGUAGAACAUGAGACUCUUAAUCUCAAGAGCUGUGGGUCUGAGCCCCAUGUUGGGCA
Podarcis lilfordi (Lilford's wall lizard) is the source of this 70-nucleotide non-coding RNA. Lineage: Eukaryota; Metazoa; Chordata; Lepidosauria; Squamata; Lacertidae. The record is from the annotation of a GenBank genome assembly.